UAACCGGGUAAGCCCCCAGGUUGACGACCUGGUUGAUAGGCCGGAGGUGUAAGCGCCGCAAGGCGUUGAGCUGACCGGUACUAAUCGGGCGAGGGCUUGAUGCCCCCUU
RNAcentral lists this ribosomal RNA (109 nucleotides) under Bacillota bacterium. Its description in RNAcentral is "Firmicutes bacterium (sediment metagenome) partial 23S ribosomal RNA". It matches the Rfam family "Bacterial large subunit ribosomal RNA", at positions 2821 to 2925 of the family's 2925-position model. Lineage: Bacteria; Bacillati; Bacillota. The record is from RNAcentral.